CCCAUUGAUGUAUCGCUUGUCCAUAGCGGUAGCUGCUCAAAUCCGAUUCUUCGCUCGUGUACGAGUACGCCUACUGCAGUUGCUAUCUGCCUCCUUCCCUCUCACAUCAGCUUCCACGGGGUGGCUUGGCUUGGCCCCCAGCCCCACGACCUCGCGCUUCACAUUGUCGGCAGGGAGCAGGCCGCCGCCGCCAAGGUCUCCUCUUCCCCAGUGGUCGUGGCUGGCCCACCUACUCAGCUACUCAAUAGUGUAUCGACGGAGGCUAUCCGGUGGUGCUGGUUCUUGGGUGAUGCCACCACAGUCUUGUCCUCCAAGGUGGUCCAGAUCUAGUAGUACCUCAGUGGAGGCAAGCCGGUGGUGCUCGAUCUCGUUGCCUCCUUCCCCUCGCACGCUCAUUAUCAAGGUAGGUUGACUGAUAGAGCUUACAUAGAGUCCCAGGUUGGGAUCUCUCCCAGCACAUGAAGCUUGAUGAAGAUGCAUAGGAAAUAGGGGAAAAGGCUUGAUUUUUCUGUGAUGUAGCAUCCAGAUGCUUAUUGAGUGUUCAUUAUUUUAGGGGGUCCUUCAUUUUGAUUAUUAAUACUUGGUCUUGCCGAUCAUGUGUAGAAAAUGAUCCUUGCAUGAUAUGUAUGUAUGGAUGUCUCUUGUGUUUUAUUCUCAAGGGGAUGAUCUAGAUUGACAUGUAUGUUUAUUUCUCAUGUACUCAAAUAAAAGGCAAGUUUUAUA
Long non-coding RNA from Hordeum vulgare subsp. vulgare (domesticated barley), 723 nucleotides. RefSeq lists it as uncharacterized. The transcript has 2 exons. Lineage: Eukaryota; Viridiplantae; Streptophyta; Magnoliopsida; Poales; Poaceae. The record is from RefSeq and is a predicted model, not a curated record.